Molecule: non-coding RNA, 46 nt
Organism: Schistosoma haematobium
Lineage: Eukaryota; Metazoa; Platyhelminthes; Trematoda; Strigeidida; Schistosomatidae
Source: Rfam
AUACUGCUGAGGAGUCCCACAAUAGGACGAAGCGGCCGUCAAGUAC